RNAcentral lists this ribosomal RNA (492 nucleotides) under uncultured bacterium. Its description in RNAcentral is "partial 16S ribosomal RNA". It matches the Rfam family "Bacterial small subunit ribosomal RNA", at positions 29 to 507 of the family's 1533-position model. The record is from RNAcentral.
AGUGAACGCUGGCGGUAGGCCUAACACAUGCAAGUCGAACGGCAGCACAGUAUGAGCUUGCUCUUACGGGUGGCGAGUGGCGGACGGGUGAGGAAUACAUCGGAAUCUACUUUUUCGUGGGGGAUAACGUAGGGAAACUUACGCUAAUACCGCAUACGACCUACGGGUGAAAGCAGGGGAUCUUCGGACCUUGCGCGAUUGAAUGAGCCGAUGUCGGAUUAGCUAGUUGGCGGGGUAAAGGCCCACCAAGGCGACGAUCCGUAGCUGGUCUGAGAGGAUGAUCAGCCACACUGGAACUGAGACACGGUCCAGACUCCUACGGGAGGCAGCAGUGGGGAAUAUUGGACAAUGGGCGCAAGCCUGAUCCAGCCAUACCGCGUGGGUGAAGAAGGCCUUCGGGUUGUAAAGCCCUUUUGUUGGGAAAGAAAAGCAGCAGGUUAAUACCCCGCUGUUCUGACGGUACCCAAAGAAUAAGCACCGGCUAGCUUCGUG